This 257-nucleotide ribosomal RNA is filed under the name uncultured bacterium. RNAcentral's name for it is "partial 16S ribosomal RNA". It matches the Rfam family "Bacterial small subunit ribosomal RNA", at positions 524 to 776 of the family's 1533-position model. The record is from RNAcentral.
GACGUAGGUGGCGAACGUUAUCCGGAAUUAUUGGGCGUAAAGGGUGCGUAGGCGGCAUGAUAAGUUAUUGGCGGCAAAUCGAGGCUCAACCUCGUGGAAACUGAUAAUACUGUCUUGCUUGAGUGCAGAAGAGGUUAACGGAACUCCAUGUGGAGCGGUAAAAUGUGUAGAUAUAUGGAAGAACAUCAAUAACGGCGAAGGCAGUUAACUAUUCUGUUACUGACGUUGAGGCACGGAAAGCGUGGGGAGCAGAAAGG